CUGGCCACAACCCCGCGCUUUUCCCUGGCAGACCCUGACCUACCCCACCAGGCCAGCCACCCCCAGCCCCAUUUUUGGAAGCGAUGCAGAGAAGAAGGAGACACCCUUCUCCUGGACCUCGGGAGGAGAGGACAGCCAGUGUCCUGACAGCCCGGCCGUGCUCUUCCAGCCCCGGGGGGAGCUGCCACCGUCCUGGGGAGCCCCCUGUCAGCGUGGGGGACCCCAGCCCCACGGUGGGCUGCUCCCCUCCAGCUCCCCCCCUGCCUACACCUGUGGAGGUCCCUCCAUUGGGCAGUCCCGCACCCCCCCACUGCCCCCCCCGGAUGUUUUCGAGGGGGACGCUGGCGAGGGGUGCAGCUGGAGCCACGAGCCAGCUUUCAGCCCAGUAGCGCUGGGGCAUCGCCGGCCACCUAGUCACUCUGUUACGGCACCGUUUGCACCCCAAAAUCUGUACUGCGGGGACAGCCUGCCCCCCCGCCCCCCCGAUUCCUGGAAUCCCGAGGGUUUAUGCUGCUGGAAGUUAGCCUUCGCACCGAGCCAGUCACAUGCGAAACACGGAGCACUGCGUUGCCGCCACCACCACCCACUCCAGUUUGACCCACUACGGCGUGACCUCCGCCACUUCGUGCGACCACCGGGACACCCAAGCCCCGGCUCCUGCUGCUGGCAGCCCCCACCGGAGCGCACCCCCUGCCCUGAAACCCACCGGCGGUGGAACUGGGAGGACUGGUGGAAUGCGCCAGAGCUGGGGUGUCGGCAGGGCCUGGGGGAGCAGGGCUGGUUCUGGCACAUGCCGCUCUCCUGCUUCCCUGCCUCGGAGGUGCUGGGGUGGGACGCCCCCCUCCCGCCCAGCCCCAAGGCCUGGGGCUGCCCUUACGUGGGGCUGCGCUGAGGGGGGGUCCCCCAAGCUUUUUUUUUUCUGGGGGNGGGCGCCCCCUUUCCCAGGGCGGCCCGGGGCUCAAUAAAAGAUGUUUUUCCCAACCGUGGUGUCACUGCUGGUCUGUCCUGGCGCCCCCAGACCCCCCCUGGACCUCCCUGGUAUGCUUGGCCCCACAGUCAGGGUGUGCCUGUGCCCAGGAAGGGAAACGCGGCUGGCAGUUUGGGGUGAGAAGAGCCAUUUCCAGGGCAUUUUGCAGAGCUGGGAUGGGAACUGGCGUUUUUGGGGCCAGAAAAGCCCUGAAAUUGGGGUGAAAAAAGCCUUUUCCAGGACAUUUCCUGGUACUGGAUUGGGAACCGGUGGUUUUGGGGCGAGAAAAGCCUUUUCCAGGGCGUAUUGCGGUGCUGGGAUGGGAACUGGUGUUUUUGGGGCAAGAAAAGCCCUGAAAAUGGGGCAAAAAAAGCCUUUUCCGGGACAUUUCCUGGUACUGGAUUGGGAACGGUUGGUUUUGGGGUAAGAAACGCCUUUUCCAGGGCAUUUUGCAGUGCUGGGAUGGGAACUGGUGUUUUUGGGGUGAGAAAAGCCUUUUCCAGGUGGGUUUUUUUGGGGGAGAGGCACUGCCGAAGCCGUUUGCGCCCCGGGCACCGCGCCGGCAUUGGGGAGUGGGGGUCUCCCACCCACCCCGAGCGUGAAC
Falco tinnunculus (common kestrel) is the source of this 1571-nucleotide long non-coding RNA. The record is from Ensembl. NCBI's taxonomy places the organism in Eukaryota, Metazoa, Chordata, Aves, Falconiformes, Falconidae.